GUCAUGGCAACGUAGAGAGGACCAUUAAACGUCGGCCAUUUGGAGCCUUCUGUAGACACAUCAAUUUCUGACUAACGUUCUUCUCAUACCUCUAAGUGAGAUCACGUGAUGAUGGAGAAGGUCACCAGAGCCAGGCACCUUGUCCACACACAGGGCUUCCUUCCUCCAUGACUUAACCCAGAGAUGUAGACAGCGGGGUCAACAUUAAAUACCACAAACAGGCAAAAGAGCUUCAGACAGAAGGGUCAUCUUCCUGAAGACAAAAUAAUCAUCCUCCUUUGAGGGCAAAAUAGGCAACGUUAUGGGUAUCUUUUGUUUUGGAAUGGGACUCUACACUAUGGGAUUUCUAGUGGAGAGGAGAGUUACCAGAGUCAGCACUGGAGCAACUUUUGCUUUCAUAAUCAGAAAAAAGAAAUCAAAGUUAAUUUAGAAAGGAAUUGUACUGCUUUUGAGGAGCACAAGCUUUGGAUACAGAAAGACCUUGAAUUAUAGCCUGCUUUGAAUCUCUACGAUCUGUGCAGCAUUGGCUAAACAUUUCUUAGACUCGGAUCUUCAGUUUCACAUCUUUUAAAAGGCAUAAUAACAGAAUGCUUACAGGGUUACCUUGAAAAUAGCUGAGCCUACCUUACGGAGUGCUGGAUGUGUGGUAUGUGUUUAGUGCAGGCCAGCUCCCCUCCCCAGUUCAACACAUCCUGAGUGGUAUCCACUGACAUUAAAAGACCAAAAUCAGAUCUUUUUGAGUCUCAUCAAUUCUAUCAAAAAAACCCUCCCCCUUGUGCUCUCAACCUAGGAGGGUCAAGCCAGUGGAAUGGUAAUCAUCUUGUGUGAGUUGUCAGUGCUCUCCUAAGCAUCUGUUAUGCAGGAUCACGCUCUUAAGUUUGCCAAAAAUUACAUCGUUGAUAAUGUCUGCUGGAGAUGCUUAGGCAAAACUUGAAAUAGAAAAAUAGUAUUUUGGAAGACAAUUCCCCACAAGUGUAACCCCAAAGAAUGUUGGUUUGGGGACAUGGAACAGCUGGAAAAGUAAGACCACAUCGUUCAAAAGCAUGACAGCACCUCUGCAAAUGAGACGAGAGCUAAAUAUGUGUCUCAGAGAUAGGAAGCUAAAUCAGAACGCAGCAAGAAGACAGCACACAUUCGAGAGAGGAAAAAGUGUGAAAUCUGCUUCUGGCCAUCAGAGGAGCUGAUGCAAUCCCGGCUGACUCGGGGGACAGCCACGGUGCCAGCUACAGAGGCCACAUGGCUCCUAAUGAGGCCAGGCCCAGUUGUAGCUCCGAAGAGUGGGUGAGCCAGCCAAAUUUCACCCAAGGACAGAAGCAGCCUUAACAGCUGUUGACAAGCACUGGCUACCAUCUAUGUGUCAACAGUUGUGUCAUGAGUUUGAGAUGGGCCGACAGCACAUGGAACUCAAAGGUGACUAAGGGAGAAAGGAAAGUAAAUCAAUGAUCAGAGUCCAGAGAGCUACAUGCAGUGCAACCCAUGGUUUUAUGGGAGAACCGACAGGGGCACCUUACUCUGGAAGGAACAACGCCAGGAGAGGCUUUGAGGUGCCGAUAAUGUCCAGGAACUUGUUUGGAAUUGAGCCUUGAUUCUGAAAAGAAAGUAUCAGAAGGCAGCAUUUGAACUGGCAUUUAAGGUGUCAACCAGGGGGAGUUUGGUGCUGACCAGUAAAAGGGGAGAAUCAAAAACCGAAGCUCUAUCACCAGGGACAGGGCCAGACUCCUGACUAGAAACUCAGUGGAUGUGCUGAAUCAUUCGGAUACUUGCCAGAAAAUUAUUUUACCCACUCAGAAGGCUGGGCAUCAGCCAAAACUGUCUGGAAAACCACAAGGAAAGACAUUUCCAUGAAGUAACUAGAGUUUUGGGCUUCUACUCUAGAGGAAUAUAAGAGGAACUUUCUUUAAAGAAUAUGCAGGUGGUUCCUUUUAAGCUCACCUGUCUGGUUUUUCAAACAGAUCAAGGGGUGAUGGCAGGGAAAUGUCUCCCCUGGAAAUCUCACCCCUCCAUUUGCUAAAGAGAAGGAGCUUCAAUCCCUUGACAGGAUGAUGAAACAAUAAUAAACUGAUGUGACCAAGUCUCAUGCCAGCAGUCCUACCUGUGGCCCACCCUUCUCGUGGCCAACAAUGGCUUUUCUUAAAUAAAUAAAAAUCAAGAUUUGUACCA
Long non-coding RNA from Pan troglodytes (chimpanzee), 2160 nucleotides. RefSeq lists it as uncharacterized. NCBI's taxonomy places the organism in Eukaryota, Metazoa, Chordata, Mammalia, Primates, Hominidae. The record is from RefSeq and is a predicted model, not a curated record. The transcript is spliced from 6 exons.